Molecule: ribosomal RNA, 1045 nt
Filed under: unidentified archaeon
Lineage: Archaea
Description: 16S ribosomal RNA
Source: RNAcentral
GGGUCUCGCUCGUUGCCUGACUUAACAGGAUGCUUCACAGUACGAACUGACGACGGCCAUGCACCACCUCUCAGCUAAUCCGGUAAAGUCUUCAGCCUGACCUUCAUAUCGCUGUCGCCCCCGGUGACAUUUCCGGCGUUGAAUCCAAUUAAACCGCAGGCUCCACCCGUUGUAGUGCUCCCCCGCCAAUUCCUUUAAGUUUCAGCCUUGCGGCCAUACUUCCCAGGUGGCUCGCUUCACGGCUUCCCUACGGCACCAAUCACGGUCGCACCGUGACUGACACCUAGCGAGCAUCGUUUACGGCUAGGACUACCCGGGUAUCUAAUCCGGUUCGUGCCCCUAGCUUUCGUCCCUUACCGUCGGACCCGUUCUGGUGAGACGCCUUCGCCACUGGUGGUCCCUCGAGGAUCACAAGAUUUCACCCCUACCCCCAAGGUACCUCUCACCUCUCCCGGUCCCAAGCCAAACAGUAUCCCCUAGCAGCCUGACAGUUGAGCUGCCAGAUUUCCCAAGGGACUUACCUGGCCGGCUACAGACCCUUUAGACCCAAUAAUAACGGUUACCACUCGAGCCGCCGGUGUUACCGCGGCGGCUGGCACCGGUCUUGCCCGGCCCUUGCUAUGAAAUGCUUUUUAGGCAUCUCGACAGCCAGAUUUGUAACCUGGCACUCGAGGUUCCCUUAUCGCUGUUGCCAGCAUUGUAAAGUUUUCGCGCCUGCUGCACCCCGUAGGGCCUGGAUUCGUGUCUCAGAAUCCAUCUCCGGGCUCUUGCUCUCACAACCCGUACCCGUCGUAGGCUAGUAGGUACGCUACACCCACUACUACCUGAUAGGCCGCAGACCCAUCCUUAGGCGCCGGAGCUUUUAAUCUCGGUGCAUUCCAGCAGCCGAGACUUAUAGGGGAUUAUACCCAGUUUCCCGGGUUUAUACCCAACCUAAGGGCAGGUUGUCCACGUGUUACUGAGCAGUACGCCAUGUAUUGCUACAUUCGACUCGCAUGGCUUAGUCGAACCUCGAUAGCAGUAACCUCUGGCAGGAUCAACCGGA